This is a long non-coding RNA of Fukomys damarensis (Damara mole-rat), 3984 nucleotides long. RefSeq lists it as uncharacterized. NCBI's taxonomy places the organism in Eukaryota, Metazoa, Chordata, Mammalia, Rodentia, Bathyergidae. The record is from RefSeq and is a predicted model, not a curated record. The transcript has 4 exons.
AGUGGGCUGACCUCUACGGGUGUGUGUGCGUGUGUGUGCGUGUGUCUGCCUAUGACGCAGGGAGGGAUUUAUGUAAGUGGCCUGGAAGGUCAUCUGUACCCCACUUCACCUCCACAUGAGAUGCAACAUUCCCUGGCUACCUGGCUACAGAGGAAACAACAAAGAUGAGAGCUUUUCUGUGAGAUGGGGGUGGUUUGUUGGUGGUGGUGUUUGGUGGUUGAGACAGGGUCUCACUGUGCAGUGCAGGCUGACCUUGGUCUCACAGCAACCCUCGUGCAUCACCCUCUGGAGUGCUGGGAUCACAAGUAUGUGCCACCACGCCUGCCAAGACAAAGAAAUGUAUUGUGAUAGAGGGAACCGAGACUUGGAGAAGUAAAGGGAAUUGUUCAAAGUGCAUUAUGAGUCCAUGUUUCUCACAAAUGCACUUUUCUGGACUGUUCUGCUGAGUUGUGUUCCUGCCAUUUGCACAAGCCCUUCCCUCCAGGUCUUCAGAACAGGACAUCCAAGCCACAGCCACUCCGGUGGGCCCUCCUCAUCCACGUCCACCGGUGUUCAUACAAGAGGAGUAAAUUUGCUACAGGGUGAGAUGUAGUGGCAGACACAAAAAACCACGUGGCGUGAGGGUGCACCUGGAAGGCAGCCUCCUGCACCCCGAAGAGCAAGGCCCCAGGAGAAACCACGCCUGCUCACACCCAGCUCCUACAGUUCCAGCCUGCAGCUGUGGGAAAGCAAAUGUCUGCUCUUCAAGCCGCUCAGUCCACCGCAGUAUCGGUUAGCGGAGCCCUGGAAAACAAACGCAAACUUGGCGUGUAAGCUACUUGUUCGAAAUAUUCUCUUUUCCUUCUAAAGGUGUAGUUUGCUUAAUCACAUCUUCUCUGUUGUUCUUAUCAGCCUUAAUGGAGGCUUUUCUUUUUCGGAGUGAACCAGGAUGCGGGGGGCGGGGGGAGAACAAAUUAUCAUCUUUGUGUUACUAAUUUUGUGUGGGUCUUAUUUCAUCUUAAUUUUGUUCUGGGCAUUUUUUUUUUCCUUUUUUGUAGUUUCUUGAAUCUUUGCUAAUUUAUUUUUCAGUAUUGCUUUUUUUUUCCUGUUCAGAAAAUCUACUCAAACCUAUAAAUUUCCUCAGUUCUAGCAGCUUCCAGCAACGCCGGAUACAAAACGGCAAUCAUUGGCCCGUAGGUGUUUUGUCCUUUCCUUGUAUCUUUUACUAAAAGGGCUGCGUGACGUGCAGGAUUCCCUUUCGGUUUGUUUCCAGAGGCGCGUCCUCCGGCGUCCGCCCCGCAGCGGCGUCCCCGUUUGCUCGCUUCCCAAGCGGUCCCCAUGCAGCUCGUGGUACCCAGGACCUUCUGCUCCAGGUUCAGAGGCUCUGCAUCUUCUCCUGCCGUCCUGAGGACACUGGGCUACAUCUUAAACCUUCUCCUGGAUCCCAGGGCAGCUUGUUUUCAGAUGUCUGUGCUUCCUCCUCGACUCUGUUUCAUCUCAAUGUUGCGCAGUGCCUCGACUGUUUUAUCUUUUUCUCCUCUACUCCUGGAACAGGGCCAGAGCUACCCAUGUCCAGGUUCUCAGUGGACGGAGGGAGUGGAGUGUCUCGGCCCUGCCCCUUGCCCACCAACACUGUGGGUGACAGCGUUCCUGAAGUCUGUAACUGCAGAGCAGAUUUACGGCUUGCACCACUUUCGGUCCAAAUCGAGCUCCAGCUCCCCGACUGCCGUGUCCUCUUCCACUUACCUGUCUGGCACCUGCCUGUCUGUCUUAUUACUUACUUAUCUGUAGUGCACUGCACCGAGUAAGUUCCGUCUGAGCCCCGGUUUCUUCCCUUCGGGACUCCUGCUAGGGGUCACUGUCUUAGAACAGCACGAUGAUAUCUCUCCUGCUUUCUGCCCAGUUGUUUUGCGGGGGUGAAAUUUAGCAUCUAACUGAGAUUAACAAGGUGAUGGGUGAAUUUGACGGUGCAUAUAAACAUCUAGAAAGAUGCCUCAGAGAGCAGCCUGCUAGGGGCCUACAGAGCUUUCCCAAGCCCAUUUCUUGUUGCGUGGGUGAGUGAAGGGGCGUGGUGCAUCGCCCUGCCUUUGUCUGACAGAUGCUUCUGGAGGUAAAACCUGGUGUGUGCAAGAUGAUGGUUCGGAAACUACGUCAUGAUAUGCCCCGCCUGCCACUCUUCUGCAGGCGACCCAGGGGACAGUCCGCUAGCCUCUCUGUGCCAGUUUCCUCAUCCAUUUCCAGGGAGCAGUGAGGCAUUGGGUUAUCAUAGGUGGAAAAGUGCAAACCAAGCGAACUGCUUAGAGCCACGGCUGGCUGCACGGAGCAGUAGUUAACAUGCUGGGGAAAAGUGUCAGCUGUAAGACCUGAACCCAUUUCUGUGGCUUCCAGCUGAAUGAUCUUAAGCUUUAUUCUCCUCUCUGUAGCUUCAUCCUCUCGUUUGUAAAAGGACAGUGCUGGAUAGAUAACCUCCAGAAUCCCGUCCGCUACAACACAUCAAAACUGCAGAGCUGUAGCCACACUUGGCCUCAUGGUUCCGCGGGGAAUGGAAAUCCUUUAUGAGAAAUGUGUAUUAAGCAAGCACAGGUCUCUCUAAAACCCACAAAGCAAAACCAGGCCUGGAGCUUUUCCAGAGUUCUGCUUGUCCUUAGCUGACUCUAAUAAACGUGUGGGGUUUUUGCAGUGAGCUCCCUCCCUCAGUACCCCUCUCCUUGUCAGCACACCAUUCUUCUCCAAACCGAGCUCCAAGCUGUACCAACUGAUGCACUGAUUCACUGUGUCUUACAACAGAAAAUGAACGCCUUCCAUUCACGCUGUUAAAUCAAAAUGUUCUCAUGUACUGCACAACAUACAGCUUUGUUUCCAUACUAAAAGAAUCUCAGGCAGCAUGAAAGGUGUGUGAACCGUAUUUGGGAAGGGAAAACGGUGAAAACAGCCCUACAGAUCACACAGUCGUGAUUCCUGCUGCCGGGCAGGGCCCCCAGGUCGGCGCAGAACCCACCAGUGAGCCCUCAGCCAGCUUCUGCGGCCCAAUCUGCCAGUGACUGCUUCUUUCUCGCCGCGGGCUCAGAGCAAGUUGCACAGCCGUGUCCAGUUCCCGGAGUCACACUUCAGGCUGCUAGGAACCACUGGCUACUCAGGAGUUCCGGGCACUUACACAAUUCCGGACUCAGGAAUCCAAGGAAGAAGGUCUGUGGGCCCGCGGCCGGUGCGCCAGAUGUCUGUUUAACCGCACGCUGGGGAGCAGCAUUCCCAGUGUGCAUUCGGCAGAAGCCACGCGGCACAAAGAGGCUUUGUGAAAGAGCGGGAAGCUCCAGGAUGGCUGCUGCUGAAGUGUGGGAAGGACGACCACUCCAAACGAAUCCGGCCUUUAACACAAUCACACGCCGUGAGCUUCUAAGGUUCCCAAGCUCUCUUAACCACAGUUCCAUAUUCCCAGAGAACGGGGCUGAAAGUCUACCCCUCGGCAGUUACUCUCCUGGGCCUGCCUUCAGCUGGCUUCAUGUGCCUCGGGCCCCACCGUGAUAACCCGUCCCGCUUCGCCAUUUGCCCCGGAAGGAAGAGAAACCCAUGGAUGGAGCUGACGAGCCUGGACAGGAGCCUGAAGCCGAUCCUCACUGAUUCACUGUCAUGAAACGAAGCUGCCCAAGGAGCCCAGCCUAGAUAAGUGCUAGAUAUGUUUUUUUUCCUUGUUACAUAGCAGUUUCUACCCUAUAUACUAUUUCUUCUUCCUUUCUACUCUUUUUUAGGCAGAGGAAUACCUGAGAUUGAACCCAAGGAGCAGUUAUGGUCGUAGGCAAGGACUUUCUGAACAGAAUCCUGGUUGCACAGGAAAUAGUACCGAGAAUCAUCGGAUGGGAUCCUCUCAAGUUAAGAAGCUUCUACACAGCAAAAGAAACAACCAACAGAGUGGAAAGACAGCCUACAGGAUGGGCAAAACAUAUUUGCCACUAUUCCUUAGACAGAGGACUAAUAUCUAGACUAUAUAAAGAACUCAAGAAACUUAGA